RNAcentral lists this non-coding RNA (23 nucleotides) under Drosophila melanogaster (fruit fly). Lineage: Eukaryota; Metazoa; Arthropoda; Insecta; Diptera; Drosophilidae. The record is from RNAcentral.
UGCGAAAUAAUUGCCAGAGUCAC